This 508-nucleotide ribosomal RNA is filed under the name uncultured bacterium. Its description in RNAcentral is "partial 16S ribosomal RNA". It matches the Rfam family "Bacterial small subunit ribosomal RNA", at positions 28 to 523 of the family's 1533-position model. The record is from RNAcentral.
GAUGAACGCUAGCUACAGGCUUAACACAUGCAAGUCGAGGGGAAACGACAUCGAAAGCUUGCUUUUGAUGGGCGUCGACCGGCGCACGGGUGAGUAACGCGUAUCCAACCUGCCCACCACUUGGGGAUAACCUUGCGAAAGUAAGACUAAUACCCAAUGACGUCUCUAGAAGACAUCUGAAAGAGAUUAAAGAUUUAUCGGUGAUGGACGGGGAUGCGUCUGAUUAGCUUGUUGGCGGGGUAACGGCCCACCAAGGCGACGAUCAGUAGGGGUUCUGAGAGGAAGGUCCCCCACAUUGGAACUGAGGCACGGUCCAAACUCCUACGGGAGGCAGCAGUGAGGAAUAUUGGUCAAUGGGCGAGAGCCUGAACCAGCCAAGUAGCGUGCAGGAUGACGGCCCUAUGUGUUGUAAACUGCUUUUAUAAGGGAAUAAAGUGAGUCUCGUGAGACUUUUUGCAUGUACCUUAUGAAUAAGGACCGGCUAAUUCCGUGCCAGCAGCCGCGGUAA